CGCGGAGUGGAGCAGUGGUAGCUCGUUGGGCUCAUAACCCAAAGGUCGUUCGUUCGAGUCGGACCUCCGCAA
Molecule: transfer RNA, 72 nt
Filed under: Paludibacter sp.
Lineage: Bacteria; Pseudomonadati; Bacteroidota; Bacteroidia; Bacteroidales; Paludibacteraceae
Description: tRNA-Met
Rfam family: tRNA
About the family: Transfer RNA (tRNA) molecules are approximately 80 nucleotides in length. Their secondary structure includes four short double-helical elements and three loops (D, anti-codon, and T loops). Further hydrogen bonds mediate the characteristic L-shaped molecular structure. tRNAs have two regions of fundamental functional importance: the anti-codon, which is responsible for specific mRNA codon recognition, and the 3' end, to which the tRNAs corresponding amino acid is attached (by aminoacyl-tRNA synthetases). tRNAs cope with the degeneracy of the genetic code in two manners: having more than one tRNA (with a specific anti-codon) for a particular amino acid; and 'wobble' base-pairing, i.e. permitting non-standard base-pairing at the 3rd anti-codon position.
Source: RNAcentral